RNAcentral lists this small RNA (73 nucleotides) under Methylobacterium sp. B4. RNAcentral describes it as "suhB". It matches the Rfam family "Makes More Granules Regulator RNA (mmgR)". From Rfam's summary of the family: SuhB later renamed mmgR (makes more granules regulator) was a putative non-coding RNA found multiple times in the Agrobacterium tumefaciens genome and related alpha-proteobacteria. Other non-coding RNAs uncovered in the same analysis include: speF, ybhL, metA, and serC. Several studies inSinorhizobium meliloti showed that suhB element is indeed a non-coding RNA:firstly it was detected on Northern blot and called Sm8RNA, secondly in an RNAseq study referred to as SmelC689. Lineage: Bacteria; Pseudomonadati; Pseudomonadota; Alphaproteobacteria; Hyphomicrobiales; Methylobacteriaceae. The record is from RNAcentral.
UCCCGCUGCCCUCCUUGGGCGUUUCCUCCCUAGACUUCGGGCCGCUCGCAAGGGCGGCUUUUUUUUGCCCGCU